CCCGCCCGCCCCCCGGAUCACGGGCUUCGGCCACGCCCUCUUCCCGUCACGUGACGGUGCGCGGAGGCGGUGGUGGAGUUGCUUCCCCUGCUAGGCGGGCUCGAACCGGGCGGGAGUCACUGUCCACCUUGCUUCGCCAGGGUGUUAUCGCCAGCCAGUCCCCUUCCGCAUGCCCAAGGGCAGCCUCAGGAAGCGAGCCCACCACCGUCGGCCCAGCGCCUGUUGAUCGGCCAGGCCUUCUGGGCCGGUCAUACUGGGCCCUUCCUAACCUGAGGAGAUUGCACAGUAGGGCUCCCUGGUCUGGUCAGGGCUCAGUUAGGACCCCUCUCCAGCCUUAGGCUUGGUGAAAGCUUUAGCGAAACAGAAAAAAGAACGCAUCGUGGUGUAGAGUGUAUGGCCUAAGAAGCAUUCGCUCCACUCAAAAAAAAGAAAGUCCUAAUGCAAGUAAUUGAAAGUGAAGAUAUUGCAAAACAAAUAAUGACAGCUGAAUUGAUGAUAUGAUGACAGGCUCAUCCCUCCAUUGUAAACUAUGAAACAAGUUGUCAUGUUAUGAACUGCCUAUCGGAGAGGACCAUGUGGCAAAGAACUCAGAGGUGGCUUGUAGAAGCUGAGAGCCAACAGAAACAAAACAAAACAAAAUCUUGAAGCUCUCAGUCCUGUGACUGUAAGGAAAUGAAUUCUCCCAACAACUUGAGAGAGUUUGGAAGAAGAUUCUUCUUUCUUCAGGCUUUCAGAUGGGAACAUGGUCCAACCAACACCUUCACUGUAGCCUGGAGAGACCCCAAAGUAGAAAACCCAACUAAGGUGUAUCUGGACUCCUGACCUACAGAAAGAGAGAUAGUAAAUGUGUGUUAUUUUAAUGUGUUCAACUUGUGUUAAUUUGUUACAUCGAAUUGGAAAACUAAUAGAGAUUUUGGUGCCUAGAGGUAGAAUGCUACUGUAAUAAAUAUGUAAAAAUAUGUCUGUGGCUUUGAAACUGAUCAGUGGACAGAGACUAGAAGAAUGCUUGAAAAGUAUGAUAGACAAAUCCCAAAUCACUGCGAACAAACUCUCAGUAGAAAUGUGGAUAUUGAAGACUGCUGUUGAGGACUCAGAAGGAAGUAAGGAACAUGCUAUAGGAAACUGGAAGAAGGGAGAUCCUUGUUAUGUACUGGCGUAAAGCUUAGUGAAAUUAUUUCUUGCAAUUACGUUGAAAGCAGAACUUGUAAAUGGAUGAAUUUGGUUAUAUAGUUAAGGAGAUUUCCAAGCAAAGUGUUGAAGGGGACAACUGGUUUCUUCUUGCUACUUACAGGAAAAUUCAAGAAAAGAGACAAAUUGAGAGAAGAACUAUUAAGCAAAAAGGAAUCAGGACUUGAUAAUUUAAAAAAUCCUCAUCUUCCCCAGAUGGCAAAAAAUAUUAACAGUUGGAGAUGGCUUUUGGGCACUGUCAGAAAAGCCUACUCUAGAGAAAAUGCACUUGAAGUUACUCUAUAAUCUUUUUUAAAGCCCCCAAAAGAUCAAAGGUCAGAGUACUCAGGGGUAUUUCAAGAUACGGCCCUUAGAUUUGAAAAGAUCUAAGGGUAUGCCUCAGAUCCUCUCAAUCACACUAUUGAGCCUCUAGGAAGCUUAAAGGAGAUGGAAUUAUUUUUGAAACAAUCUGUAGAUGUGGCCUUUGUCUGAUAAGAGUGAAUGCCACUGAAAUACAGAAAGAACCACAACAUUCUUGAGAAAAUUAUUUCUGCAGAAACAGUGCCAACUUGGAAUAAGACAGACAGAAAGACUAGAAAAUGAAAAGAGGCUGUCAGACCUCCAAAAUUUUACUGGCAGAAAGCAGGCUGAUAAAACUACUCAUCUGCAAACACAUGCUACCUUCCAUGAAAAAGGAAGAAUGACUCAGAUGGUGGAACCAAGAACCCAGAAAGCAGAGCCAAGAGCCAUGAAGAAUCAUUCCCAAGCCUAGAAACUUAAUUAAGGAACUUCCAAUAAAUCCAGUUGUAUUUCAAAACUGCUAUAGACUAGUGACUCCUUUUUACUACCCAUUUCCCCUAUUUUUAAACUGGAAUGUCUAUAGCUAUUAUCCUGUGUCUGUCCCACCAUUGUAUGUUGGGUGUGUUGGAGGCAGAUAACUCAUUUCCUUGGUUUCAGAGGUCCAUAGUUAGAGAAUAAUUGUGUCCAGGAGCUUUACUUAACAGGUUAUACGUAGGAGGCUCAUCUGCACCUGGACUUGAUUCACAUGAUGAAAUUUUAGAAUUUGAGCUGAUGCUAUAAUGAAUGAAACUCUUGGGAACUGAUAUGGUUUGUCUCUGUGUCCCCACCCAAAUCUCAUCUUGAAUUG
This 2314-nucleotide long non-coding RNA is filed under the name Homo sapiens (human). RNAcentral describes it as "HSALNT0369303". Lineage: Eukaryota; Metazoa; Chordata; Mammalia; Primates; Hominidae. The record is from RNAcentral.